UACGGAAGGCAGCAGUGGGGAAUAUUGGACAAUGGGCGCAAGCCUGAUCCAGCCAUACCGCGUGGGUGAAGAAGGCCUUCGGGUUGUAAAGCCCUUUUGUUGGGAAAGAAAUCCAGCUGGCUAAUACCCGGUUGGGAUGACGGUACCCAAAGAAUAAGCACCGGCUAACUUCGUGCCAGCAGCCGCGGUAAUACGAAGGGUGCAAGCGUUACUCGGAAUUACUGGGCGUAAAGCGUGCGUAGGUGGUCGUUUAAGUCCGUUGUGAAAGCCCUGGGCUCAACCUGGGAACUGCAGUGGAUACUGGACGACUAGAGUGUGGUAGAGGGUAGCGGAAUUCCUGGUGUAGCAGUGAAAUGCGUAGAGAUCAGGAGGAACAUCCAUGGCGAAAGGCAGCUACCUGGACCAACACUGACACUGAGGCACGAAAGCGUGGGGAGCAAACAGGGAUUAGAUACC
This 456-nucleotide ribosomal RNA is filed under the name uncultured bacterium. RNAcentral describes it as "bacterial SSU rRNA". It matches the Rfam family "Bacterial small subunit ribosomal RNA", at positions 340 to 786 of the family's 1533-position model. The record is from RNAcentral.